GAUGAACGCUGGCGGCGUGCCUAAUACAUGCAAGUCGAGCGAACGGACGAGAAGCUUGCUUCUCUGAUGUUAGCGGCGGACGGGUGAGUAACACGUGGAUAACCUACCUAUAAGACUGGGAUAACUUCGGGAAACCGGAGCUAAUACCGGAUGAUAUUUUGAACCGCAUGGUUCAAAAGUGAAAGACGGUCUUGCUGUCACUUAUAGAUGGAUCCGCGCUGCAUUAGCUAGUUGGUAAGGUAACGGCUUACCAAGGCAACGAUGCAUAGCCGACCUGAGAGGGUGAUCGACCACACUGGAACUGAGACACGGUCCAGACUCCUACGGGAGGCAGCAGUAGGGAAUCUUCCGCAAUGGGCGAAAGCCUGACGGUGCAACGCCGCGUGAGUGAUGAAGGUCUUCGGAUCGUAAAACUCUUUUAUUAGGGAAGAACAUAUGUGUAAGUAACUGUGCACAUCUUGACGGUACCUAAUCAGAAAGCCACGGCUAACUACGUG
This 497-nucleotide ribosomal RNA is filed under the name uncultured bacterium. Its description in RNAcentral is "partial 16S ribosomal RNA". It matches the Rfam family "Bacterial small subunit ribosomal RNA", at positions 28 to 507 of the family's 1533-position model. The record is from RNAcentral.